This 500-nucleotide long non-coding RNA is filed under the name Helianthus annuus (common sunflower). The record is from RNAcentral. Lineage: Eukaryota; Viridiplantae; Streptophyta; Magnoliopsida; Asterales; Asteraceae.
GCAGCACCAGUACGAUCGAAAAUGUCAAAAGCGAAAGCGUCGUCGUUGACGUUGGUCGCCGGAGAAGCUCAUGCGGUUAAUGCAAAUCCGGUUCCAACACUAGCAUCACUCACGGUUGGAAAAACCAUCACUUGAGUAUUUACUUUCUUAGCAUUGGACGCGUGGAAAUAUUCAUAAUAAAAGUUUAGGUAAUUGCUAAUACUUUUUCAAAUCUUCCUUGAUUUUGUCAUGUAUUGAUUGUUUUAUUAGACAUGUGUUUUAGAUAUUCAAAUCGUUUUUUAGAGAUAGUUAGUAAUUGAUCCUUUGAGUACUCUAUACUUCUACGCUUAAUUUGGCGUACACAAAAGUGAGAUGAUUUAGGUAAUUCUUCGACAAGUUUGAACUUGGCGAGUAGAUUUAACAAUUUCUCUUUAGUGUAUACUUAAAUUUGCAACAAUCUAAAUAGUAAUCUGUUUCAUUUCUUUUCUUCAAAGUUUUGAACCAACAAAAAAGGCCCUUAC